RNAcentral lists this ribosomal RNA (249 nucleotides) under uncultured bacterium. RNAcentral describes it as "partial 16S ribosomal RNA". It matches the Rfam family "Bacterial small subunit ribosomal RNA", at positions 795 to 1052 of the family's 1533-position model. The record is from RNAcentral.
CCACGCCGUAAACGAUGAAUACUAAGUGUUGGAGUAACAUUCAGUGCUGCAGUUAACGCAAUAAGUAUUCCGCCUGGGGAGUAUGCACGCAAGUGUGAAACUCAAAGGAAUUGACGGGGGCCCGCACAAGCGGUGGAGUAUGUUGUUUAAUUCGACGCAACGCGAAGAACCUUACCAGGUCUUGACAUGGCUCUAAAGGCCUCAGAGAUGAGGAGAUAGUUAUAGAGCACACAGGUGGUGCAUGGUUGU